CUGCAUGGCUGUCGUCAGCUCGUGUCGUGAGAUGUUCGGUUAAGUCCGGCAACGAGCGCAACCCACGUCUUUAGUUGCCAGCAUUCAGUUGGGCACUCUAAAGAAACUGCCGAUGAUAAGUCGGAGGAAGGUGUGGAUGACGUCAAGUCCUCAUGGCCCUUACGGGUUGGGCUACACACGUGCUACAAUGGUGGUGACAGUGGGUUAAUCCCCAAAAGCCAUCUCAGUUCGGAUUGGGGUCUGCAACUCGACCCUAUGAAGUUGGAAUCGCUAGUAAUCGCGGAACAGCAUGCCGCGGUUAAUACGUU
RNAcentral lists this ribosomal RNA (308 nucleotides) under uncultured bacterium. RNAcentral describes it as "bacterial SSU rRNA". It matches the Rfam family "Bacterial small subunit ribosomal RNA", at positions 1041 to 1372 of the family's 1533-position model. The record is from RNAcentral.